GCAGACGACAGCAACGAAAACGAACUGCCUCGUUGUGCGGGAUCAACAUCGGAACAUCACAGCAGCAUCCCGCCAGAAAAAUUAGCAGUAGAAAAAACUGUCCACAAAAAAAAGCGGAAGCGUUGUCAUGCAGGGUCCCGGUUAUCAUGCGCCAGUAAUGUGUAACCGCAACAGCGCUCAGAGCGGAAACAGUUAUUCGAUAGGCCAGUAUCCUCUGCACAGUAGUAAUGGAUACCACUCGACGCAUCAGGACCGACUCAAGAACCGCGGUCACUUUAGUGAGCGAGCAGACCUGUAUAACAACAGCAGCAUAAACAGUUGCACUCCACUUGCAAUCGACCAAAUGCCAUUUACAAAAAAAGACUAAGCAAUAAUGGCUUUUCUUGAUUAUUGAUCAUACCGUGCUGGUUAUCGUAUGUAUUUGAGCGUUUGUUCUACGUGCGUCUAUCAUUUAGGCAAUGGUGUGGGCAUUAGCGUUGUGACGUUAGGUUCGUUGUGUAAACUUGUUUUCCUUAGUUUGCAUUCCUCCCAAUCUUUUACUACCAACCAGAACGAGUUUUCAUUGAAAAUAUUUAUUUGCUACACAAGAGCUCGCUCUAUGCUUUACCCAACUGAAGGUUAAGUUCUGGUCAACGGGAAACAAGUCUUCGGCACGAAGCAAUGAAUCAAUAUAUGAACGAUGCUUCACGUCGCUUUUUAAAUUUAUUUAAACAAGAAGAAGUUCAGUCUUUGUAGUGGUAUAAAAGAACGAACUACUAAUUUAGAAAUGCGUCUGCAGAGAAAGGACACUAUACAAAUUGCAAAAAAUCAGCAUAUUUAUUCGAGACACUCAAAAAUCAGAGGAACAAUUUCUGGUGCAACAGUUUCAGAGCACUUAUCACUUUACGGUGCAAUAAUACGGACAGGCAGAGAAUACGGCGAGUGCAAAUGACAAUGAGAAGAUUGCCGAUCCACGAAUCUUUGAGGGGUGCAAUUGUUGGAAAGCUCUAAUGGAACCUAUGAAGCUCGUCUUAUGGCUCAGACAACCGUGCAAUAUGAUAAUUGAAGUUGAAGUUAGAUUCUUAUCAUUUAUUAUAGAUAUGCGGUUAUAAUUAGAACAUAGCCAGCUUUAGAAUUUUUCGCAGAAGUGGAUUGAGUUAAAUAAAGAAUAUCCUCAAGUACGGGUCAAGCACAGCAGACUUGUAGAUGGAUGGCACAAAUAUAUAACUGUGCAUAUAUUUCGUACACUAAGAAUUUGUUUUUACUUAUCUGAGGUAAUCAAAAAGUCUGCUGCUAUCAGGCGCCUGAACGCCUCGCAGAGAUAAUGGCGCGGAACGGACCGCAACCAGCUGGAUCCUCUACCAAUCAAUAAAAGCAUAAAUAGAGCCGACGCUGUUAUUCAGUUAUCUUUCGAACUAAAUAGACGUAGAUCACUUUCGACGUGCAACGCGUUCGUGCGACUGGGGAAAGGACAAUGUGUUGACUGCGUCGAUUUAAAACUUAAGUCGAUUUAAAACGUUUUCGUAUAUCAUCCGCUACACUUCAAUUUGUUAAGCCACCGAAAAUAAAUCGCUAGAACAAAAAAAAAUCAAUAUCGCAGCGCACCUGAGCGAUUAAUCAGCUUCGUUAAUCCAGAGUAGCAAGAAUGACAAAGGUUCUCCAUGAACGUUUGCAGUAGAUAAUACGCGAAUGACUACAACCCAUUAUGCAAUUAGACUGUUCACGCUGAGCGUUCUAAAGUGGAGACAGACAAUAAUCCAAAUAUCGUAUCUCGCCCGACAUUGCCAAUCGGUUUCCAUAGAUCUGAUUUGGUCUUAUGAAAAUUGCACCGACAGUGCUAUAAUAACCCUUUUUUUUUAUAAGAGGCAGUAUGGAUCUACCGGGUUGCACUCAUUAAGUGAAUCCAACCUCUUGGGUGACUAGUAGGACGACAGCUAACCAGGUAGCCUCUGGAAACGCUGCAGUAUUGGAAAGCAAACUACCAGCUAAUUUGGAAGCAGGUCUUCGACAAGCCUUCAUAAGAUAUAGGUCCUCAGCAAGAGUACGACGCCGCGCCUAAAAAGAAAUACCAUAAGUGUUCACAAAACAGAUCGAGUUUUUGUUGUUCUAAAAGAGCAAGGUAUCUACGCGUAAGAAUUUCAUCAAAACAACAGAUUUAACGUGGCUCCAAAAGAUCAAUGAUUCGGUCACUAAGAAGGUCAAAAUCCAAAUAAUCAAAGCGAUUAGGGUCAGUAUCUUUAAAAAAAAAUCAAACUAAUCGACAAUGUGAAGUCUAUUCUUCUAAAGGCGGUCGAGGUCACGAUCUUCAGCAGCCUCUGUACUUUAAAAGGUCGAAGUCAAAAUUAUCAGGGAAAUCGAAUUCUCGACCGAAAUUUGCUCGACCAUAUAUCUAUAUGCGAAACUCAGGGAAAUGCAAUAAAAUCAAAAUAUUCGGGUCA
RNAcentral lists this long non-coding RNA (2417 nucleotides) under Varroa destructor (honeybee mite). RNAcentral describes it as "uncharacterized LOC111249027". Lineage: Eukaryota; Metazoa; Arthropoda; Arachnida; Mesostigmata; Varroidae. The record is from RNAcentral.